RNAcentral lists this unclassified non-coding RNA (431 nucleotides) under soil metagenome. RNAcentral describes it as "partial contains 5.8S ribosomal RNA, internal transcribed spacer 2, and large subunit ribosomal RNA". The stretch from base 1 to 120 matches the Rfam family "5.8S ribosomal RNA", at positions 35 to 154 of the family's 154-position model. The record is from RNAcentral.
GAUGAAGAACGCAGCGAAAUGCGAUACGUAAUGUGAAUUGCAGAAUUCAGUGAAUCAUCGAAUCUUUGAACGCAUAUUGCGCUCUCUGGUAUUCCGGAGAGCAUGCUUGUUUGAGUAUCAGUAAACACCUCAACUUCCAUAUCUUUUUUGAAAUGGGAGUUGGACUUGAGUGAUCCCAACGCUUUUCCUCACCGAAAAGUGGCGGGUUACUUGAAAUGCAGGUGCAGCUGGACUUUUCUCUGAGCUAUAAGCAUAUCUAUUUAGUCUGCCUAAAAACAGAUUAUUACCUUUGCUGCAGCUAACAUAAAGGAGAUUAGUUCUUGUGCUGACUGAUGCAGGAUUCACAAAGACAGGCUUCGGCCGACUUUGUAAACUCGAUCUCAAAUCAAGUAAGACUACCCGCUGAACUUAAGCAUACAAUAAGCGGAGGA